GAGGAUUUAUUUUUUUAAAGUACAAGAAUUCUUUUGAACCCUCCAUGGCUCCAUGACAAACUAUUUGAAAUGUCCCUGCUUAAGGGGCCAGGGGGUUAAGUGCCAGGGAUGGUAGGCUAAAUGCCAGGGAUGCUGGUUGCAGGGAUUCUUGGGACCCGGGCUAAUGGCCUCCCUGCUGUGGGCCCAGGAAUACCAGGCCCGGGCUCUGGUUGCCCUGAGAGAUGCAGCCAUUUUUACUUCUGAUUGAAGGGCACCCCCUUCUGGGAUUUUCCCUUCUCUGGUGAAAACCAGAGUAGAAUAUGCCCAGGGGACCAACAGGGCAUCUGCCCAAGAGUCUGGAGGGCACUGACAGAGAUAACACCGUGAGGGAGGGUGAGACCAAUGCUUUAUAUACGUAGUUUAGAAUUUGAUCCCUGCUGGUAGAAAGAAGAUGUGCUUUGUGAGAGCCUGUGGUAAUUGCCCUUCGUAAGGAUGGUCUCAAAAGGUCAAGGGAUGGGCCUUGAAUAGCCCUAAUGUCCCUGAAACGGUCUAUUGUAUAGCUAUUGUCUCUACAUGGAAAGGAAUACUUGUCUUUUUUUGCCUCUGUGGUUUCCUAAGUGAAUAAUUACAUACUACCUUAUCUCCAGACCCAACUCUACCUCCUUUAAGCUUCAACAACAAAAGAGUUCAACACACAUUUCUUGAGCUCCAACUAUGUGCCAGGUAUCAGGCUAUGUGCUGGGGAUACAGAGGUGAAUAAUACACAGUCUUUUCUCUGGGGAAUCCACAGUCUAGUUUUCGAAAGAUUUUCCUUCACGCUGACCUUUUGGCGUUUUGUAAACAAAUCUGCAUCUAGCCCCUUUAUAUUUUCGUAUGCAUGGAUCAUAUCCUUAGCCUCCAUCUUUACAAUCUUCUAAAUUUUGCUUCAUCUGCUAACCGCUGCUUUUCCCUUGACCAAUUUAAAUGACUUUCUCUGGACUCUGGUACAUCUUCCUCUGGAGCUAAGUGACCAGAACUAGGCACUGUAUUUCAUAUACAAAUGCUGUAUGAAUGUGUGUACAAGAGUAACACUAUGUUUUCUAACUUUGUUUAUCUACUCGCCAUUCAUUCAUACAUCCAGUAGUGACUGAGUGCACACCGACCACCAUGCACUGUGCCAGGUGCUGAGGGUGCAGUGGUAAAGUAAAAUGGACACUGCUGUAGAAGGAGAACAAUUACAACGGUCUGAACGGCUCGGAACUUUCCCAGUGUCCCAGCAUGAUGUGGCUGUGUCUGGCUGGCACUUGGGAGGCCAGCCCCAGCCUAGCAGCCCUCAGGCCCUUGGAGAAUGUGGUUUGGUGUGGUGACAUCUACUGGCAAGGCUAGGCAGCACCUACACCUGACAGAGUUUACCACCAGACGUAAUUGGGGAGUUGGAGUGAGAGUGAGGAGAAAUACUGGAGAAAUAAUUAUGAAGCAAAUAUUCUGCCUUCUUAAUAACACUGACUUUAUAACUGAAUGUGGCUCAGACAAAGCAUCUAUCUAUCUAUCUCACAUUUAAACUUAAAAUCAUCAAGACCCUGCUAGAGAAAUGCAUAACAAAUAAGAUUUCAAAGAAGAGGAAACAGAACUAGUAAAUAAACACAGGAAGACUGAAGUAUGUCCUAACUAGAAAUAAAAUCAAAAGCACUUGUGAGGGAGAGUUUUCAUUUUUACUAAAAUUGCAAUAUUUUAUUAAGUAGUAAUAGUUAGUUCUGGGAACAAUGUCUUUAAACUGGCACCAUCACACAAUGAUGGUGACAUUUUAAAUUUGGGCAAGUCUUUGGGGAAAGAAAUAAAACCAUAUAGAAGUGGUAUAAAUAAAGACAAGAGAGAGCUAUGGAAGCAGGCAGACGCUCAGUGCAGCAUUAUCUGACAUAAAAGACCCUCAGUGACCCCAAUAUGAGAAUGAAAGCACAUCAUGUCACAGUACCACAAUGCAAUGUCACACAGCGGUUAGAAAUACAAUUAUGAAGACUACAGAGAAACACGGGAAAUGUUGAGAAUGUGUAAAAAACAUGAAACUUCAUGUAAAGAAUGAGUGCAUCUAUACAAAAUCAUGCGUGUUUAAUAAAACGUAUGCAUGUGGAGAAAAAUUGGAAGGCAAUAUGCAAAAGAUAGAAAUAACUUUGUGGCAGCAGUAAGAUUAAGGAUGUCUUUUAUUUUCUCAAAAAUGUAUUUAGUGUUAUUCACCGGAUUAAUAAUCUUGGAAAAAGUGGAGAGGGGUGGGACAGGUGAAAGUCAUACUCCCCUAGCUCCCUCCGGUAUACAUUUGUCCUACAUCAUCAGCUCUAGAGGGGAAAGACCACGUCUGUGUUUUCACCGUGGGCACUCGGCUCCCAGCCCAAUGCCUAGCACUUAUCAGAUGCUCA
This 2369-nucleotide long non-coding RNA is filed under the name Equus caballus (horse). Its description in RNAcentral is "lncRNA (ENSECAG00000060235.1)". The record is from RNAcentral. Lineage: Eukaryota; Metazoa; Chordata; Mammalia; Perissodactyla; Equidae.